AAAGCUGGACACUUAACAACUGAGCCACCCAGGCGCCCCUCGGCUUGAAAACAAGGUCCACAGGGCACAGGACAGAAGAAGGUUGACUGCUUGGACCAGAGCCUCCCCUGCCCAUGAUGCUGCUCGUGUUAGAAUUAUCCAGGAGGGAGACAUAAACCUCUAUCUCCUUUACGGUGUUGCAUUGCUGGGUCUGUUGCAACGGCUCAGGGGCACGCUCAGAUCCUGGAUCUCACGAGCUGUGAGAUCAGCCCU
Long non-coding RNA from Lontra canadensis (Northern American river otter), 252 nucleotides. RefSeq lists it as uncharacterized. The record is from RefSeq and is a predicted model, not a curated record. Lineage: Eukaryota; Metazoa; Chordata; Mammalia; Carnivora; Mustelidae. The transcript is spliced from 3 exons.